Sitophilus oryzae (rice weevil) is the source of this 472-nucleotide long non-coding RNA. RefSeq lists it as uncharacterized. The transcript has 3 exons. The record is from RefSeq and is a predicted model, not a curated record. Lineage: Eukaryota; Metazoa; Arthropoda; Insecta; Coleoptera; Curculionidae.
GUAAACCAUAAUAUUUACUAUUAUAAGACAAAAUUCUAGUUUAUAAUUAUAUUUGUAUUUUUAUAGUCAUUGUAUCAAUACUAAUACUUUUUUCUUUUUUGUAUCAAACUUCUAGGGAAUAUUUAUCGGAAAUCUGAAACCAAUUAUAUUUUCCUUCACCAUAAAGUCAAGAAAAUCUUGGAAAAUGGAAAAAAGAAGUAAAUAUAUAGGCAUGGAUAGGAGAAGAAGAUAACAUUUUCAGAUAUUUGUAGCAGCUACCAAAUUAUUUUGGUUUUUAAAAUAGCUACUCGCUACGGUUAAAACUAUGUUGGAUGUUCCUUCUUGCAAGAAUUUGAAGAUGGGAGGCAGUUGUGAAGCGAUGGUCUUACAAAAAAAUAGAUAAUUUUUUUUGGGAAAUGUACAUUAAAACAGGGAAAAAUCAAAGAUAUAGAGUUGAUAAUGGACGACACAAAAGUAGGAGACUAUUCUAAAG